AUUUUGGUCCCUAUCUCAAAUGGGGAUCUAAAUGAACUUUGAAAGGACAGGCUAUUUACAACAUAUCUUAAACGUGAACCUUGUUAACGCUGGUUUAAUUUAUUACCCUCUGCAGAGAAUAGCCCACAUAGACUGGCAGGACUGGAUAAAGUCUCCUUGUGCCACAGAAUCCCACUGAACCGCAGUUAUCUCAAAUUCCAUCACCCUUACCGUGUACGUGAUGGUUUCUUCAGUGUCCUGUGACUUGACCAACGCCAGAGUCAGCAUAGUUAGGAAAAGGGCUUUCAACAUCAUGAAUCUCAAAUAAAACACAGUACAAACCGAUGCUUAGCAUCCGCAGCGGAGGAAAAUAAAACUUCAGCUGUAAAGUAACAAGCAAGCAAGGUAGAGAAGGUGGAGAAAGCUGAGGCUCCUUCAUACACAACUUCUUCUAAUCUACUUCUCAUCUCCCCACCCCCUCCUCAACUUUCCCUUGGCCAAACGGGACACCAAAGGCUGAAGACGGCUGCAGAAUUACAUUUCGAUUUACACUGUCCGGCUACGAAUAUACACAAAAGCUGUAAGGGGGUGGUGCCAAAGGAAGACAAAGAUGGCAUUUUCUGGGCUUUCAACAGUUCUUCAUCUUUCAGUAGUGUUGCCUGGGAAGGGCCACAGAAAAUUCUAAUCUGGAUGUCCACAGAAGGCAGCCAAUUGUGAGCCUGGGGCUACUAUUUAUUGGGGGUGCUGCUAGUAUGUCUCUGGUUACUUUGACUCUCAGUGACUUCAUAGGGCUUCUUGGUGGCAUAUGAAAUUUUUAUUGGCCUGAUUUGAGUCUUUCCACACUUCUUAGCACAUCCAUUUGGGUGCAGAGGAUAAUAAAGUUAUUUGACAGAAUGAGGGUGGCCAUCUAGCUAUUUGUUCUGAGUAAUAGAGUAAAACCUGCUCUCAAGUUGAGGUUUCCUUGCAACAAAAGGCUUCCUCCAGCAAUGGAAGAGUUAGGUCAGCCUCUUGAGCCUGGCUGUCUCAUAGAAAUGGAUUUCUAAUGGAAAUCUUAACUUUUAAGGCCAAGACUGAAAUUUUGAUUUCUAGCAUUAAGGAGGCUCAGUCAAGAAUUAUCCAUGGGGAUGAUCUCAGGAGGAGUCCUUUUCUCAGGGAACUGUCAGAUAGUAAGGAAAACCAGGAAAUCAGUAGAGAAAUCAUUUGACCUCUGGACUUAUGCCACUGUGGCAGGCACUGGGGCUGGGUGGUGGUAGGACCUGUGGAACUACAAGUCUACACCUGGGGAGCAAGCCAGAGAUGCUUAGAGAACAUUCAGUACAA
RNAcentral lists this long non-coding RNA (1299 nucleotides) under Bos grunniens (domestic yak). RNAcentral describes it as "lncRNA (ENSBGRG00000019154.1)". Lineage: Eukaryota; Metazoa; Chordata; Mammalia; Artiodactyla; Bovidae. The record is from RNAcentral.